ACGUAGGGGCCUAGCGUUGUCCGGAAUUAUUGGGCGUAAAGAGCUCGUAGGCGGUUCGGCAAGUCGGAUGUGAAAUCUCCACGCUUAACGUGGAGGGGCCAUUCGAAACUGCUGUGACUCGAGUCCGGUAGGGGAGUGUGGAAUUCCCGGUGUAGCGGUGAAAUGCGCAGAUAUCGGGAGGAACACCAGUAGCGAAGGCGGCACUCUGGGCCGGUACUGACGCUGAGGAGCGAAAGCGUGGGGAGCGAACAGGA
RNAcentral lists this ribosomal RNA (254 nucleotides) under uncultured prokaryote. RNAcentral's name for it is "partial 16S ribosomal RNA". It matches the Rfam family "Bacterial small subunit ribosomal RNA", at positions 525 to 777 of the family's 1533-position model. The record is from RNAcentral.